ACGGGUGAGUAAUGCCUAGGAAUCUGCCUGGUAGUGGGGGGCAACGUUUCUAAAGGAACGCUAAUACCGCAUACGUCCUACGGGAGAAAGCAGGGGACCUUCGGGCCUUGCGCUAUCUGAUGACCCUAGGUCGGAUUACCUAGUUGGAGAGGUAAUGGCUCACCGAGGCGACUAUCCGUAGCUGGUCUGAGAGGAUGAUCAGUCACACUGGAACUGAAACACGGUCCAGACUCCUACGGGAGGCACCAGUGGGGAAUAUUGGACAAUGGGCGAAAGCCUGAUCCAACCAUGCCGCGUGUGUGAACAACGUCUUCGGAUUGUAAAGCACUUUAAGUUGGGAGGAAUGGUUGUAAAUUAAUACUCUGCAAUUUUGACUUUACCUACAGAAUAAGCACCGGCUAACUCUGUGCCAUCACCCGCGGUAAUACACAGGGUGCAAGCGUUAAUCGAAAUUACUGGGCGUAAAUCGCGCGUAUGUGGUUUGUUAAGUUGGAUGUGAAAUCCCCAGGCUCAACCUGGGAACUGCAUC
Molecule: ribosomal RNA, 529 nt
Filed under: uncultured bacterium
Lineage: Bacteria
Description: bacterial SSU rRNA
Rfam family: Bacterial small subunit ribosomal RNA
Source: RNAcentral